AGAGAGCAUAAAAAUGAAAAUACAAUUAGGUCAAAAUGGUCCCAGAAAAUACAGAUGUUUUGUUGUUAUAAAAGAAGAAUGUGUUAUUUUGUGCAAAUUACAAUUCCAAAAAAGAGUUUAUAUCAUCCAUAAUUUCUAUACAAUACACGUUACGGUAUUCAAUAGUAAUAAACGUUUUUUGUUGAAUAAUUGAUUCUUCAUAUAUCCAAUAUAUAGGGAAUACAUAAAUUGAUACAAAUGAUUUUUUAGAUUAGUAUAAAAAGCAAAGCAGACGAAAGUGAAAAAGCGGUGAAUCUCCGUACGAAUUUCCCGGGGAAAGGUACAGACAAAACACAUGGACACAUGCGACGCCGUGUCUCCGGUGAAUCCUUACGAUGUAAUCUAAACAUAUUUAGUGAAUUUAAAAAAUUGUUAAUGCUAAUGUGAAUAUAAUAAAGGGUUAUAAAUAUAGACAUAAA
RNAcentral lists this long non-coding RNA (458 nucleotides) under Capsella rubella. RNAcentral describes it as "long non-coding RNA (CRUB_LNC004833)". Lineage: Eukaryota; Viridiplantae; Streptophyta; Magnoliopsida; Brassicales; Brassicaceae. The record is from RNAcentral.